This 1432-nucleotide long non-coding RNA is filed under the name Homo sapiens (human). RNAcentral describes it as "HSALNT0132278". Lineage: Eukaryota; Metazoa; Chordata; Mammalia; Primates; Hominidae. The record is from RNAcentral.
CAGGUAUGUCUGGGGCACGAAGAAUGAAGUGAUUAUCUCUGCAGGUCCUCCUGUUUUCAAGGAGACUUUGAAUAAAGCAGAAAUAAUGAGCACCUGAACCAAGGCAUCAACACGGGGCUGGAGAGGACUAGAAGCACUAAUAAAGUCCAAUCCACAGCUGUUAUUAAAACUGUAAGCGGGAGGAUAGAGGUCCUAUUUCAUGACUGAGGAGCUUUGGUGGAUACUACAGCCACACAUUUGGAUGGAAGGUAGACGACCGGAUAAUUCUUGUGCUCUGAAUGGAAGCAGUUUAUUGAGCUUCCUCCCACCCCAGUACAAUAAAUGAAGAGACUCACAAGAUUAAGGAGUGAUAAGAGUACACCGCUUCAAAAAAAAACAAAUCCUGUGCAAGGGGAAUAGUGAGCAAAUGAGGUCUGAUCCUUUCAAAGGCGGGAGACAGGAAUUCUGUUUGCAUGUUACCAGAGAUGUCCAAAUGCCUGUCACUUUUUCCUUAAUGUGGUAAGUAAUCACUCUUUCCUUUCAUUAGUACAUCCAUAGCAUUUACUAAGAACCACCUAAUUUCUUUACUCUUUAAUUAUGACUUCCCACACAUCUAUCAGCUGCCAGGGAUAUUGCAACUGCUAGUGCAUUCUCUUCCACUGUUCCCCUAUUCCCAUUCUCCACCAGUGGAAGUUUUAACAGCCACAUGGCUACUGCAUGCUACGGUCUACUCAAAAUCCACUCCAGACCAGGGAGGGUCAGACAAUUGGCAAGAGACGUUAUGCACCUGUAAAAUCUCACUAUAAAGUCUUCUUCUUCAGACUAGUUUUAGUAUGAAGUGUCUGAGGUGGGAUUCUCUGGAAACUAGUCUUUGAGGUUGAGAUACUCUGGCAGGAAAUGUAUGGAGAGCACUCCAGUGAUAGAUGUGGGUGAGUAAAAGGACAAGGCUGGUUACAGGGAGGCAAACUGCGAUGCCCUUGGAAGAAACGACCCAGCCAAUAUCAUAGGGAAUCUGGAGGUUGGAAAGUUCUUGAAAUUUGCCCAGAAUUGAGGUAUCAUAUGCUGUAUCCUGGAAAAAAAAUCACUGGCUGCAGCUCCUCCCAGACGGCAAGACUCACCUUAAGCAAAGAAGCAAUCUUUGGCUGAGGGCAAGUCCUGAGGAAAGUGUAGGCAAUCUCCUUGAGAGACUCACUGUGAGCCUUCAGCUGACAACGCUGUCCACAGCUGUGAGGAUUAAGGCUUCUAUCAGGAACUAAAGAUCAGGGAAGCAUCUAUGGCUCUUAGAAAUCCAGGAAAAAAAAAAAAAAAAAAAACUAGCAGAGAAAAAUCUUUAGUUUAAGGAUGUAUUAAUGUGAGACAGAAGUCCUAUCCGCUCUACAAUCCAUGAGACAAAUUGUGACAGAGUCCUCCAGUACCAGUAUUAAAAGCAAUCCAAGUGUUUCAUUCAGCCAAA